This 479-nucleotide ribosomal RNA is filed under the name uncultured bacterium. Its description in RNAcentral is "partial 16S ribosomal RNA". It matches the Rfam family "Bacterial small subunit ribosomal RNA", at positions 28 to 523 of the family's 1533-position model. The record is from RNAcentral.
GACGAACGCUGGCGGCGUGCUUAACACAUGCAAGUCGAACGAUGAACCCGGAGCUUGCUCCGGUGGAUUAGUGGCGAACGGGUGAGUAACACGUGAGUAACCUGCCCUUGACUCUGGGAUAACUGCGGGAAACUGUAGCUAAUACCGGAUACGACCCUCGGCGGCAUCGCCAGGGGGUGGAAAGAAUUUCGGUCAAGGAUGGACUCGCGGCCUAUCGGCUUGUUGGUGCGGUAACGGCUCACCAAGGCGACGACUGGUAGCCGGCCUGAGAGGGUGACCGGCCACACUGGGACUGGGCCGCGGCCCAGACUCCUACGGGAGGCAGCAGUGGGGAAUAUUGCACGAUGGGCGCAAGCCUGAUGCAGCAACGCCGCGUGAGGGAUGACGGCCUUCGGGUUGUAAAGCUCUUUUAUCCGGGACGAUAAUGACGGUACCGGAGGAAUAAGCCCCGGCUAACUUCGUGCCAGCCGCCGCGGUAA